RNAcentral lists this unclassified non-coding RNA (323 nucleotides) under uncultured fungus. Its description in RNAcentral is "partial contains small subunit ribosomal RNA, internal transcribed spacer 1, and 5.8S ribosomal RNA". The stretch from base 1 to 73 matches the Rfam family "Eukaryotic small subunit ribosomal RNA", at positions 1759 to 1831 of the family's 1831-position model. Lineage: Eukaryota; Fungi. The record is from RNAcentral.
GCAAACUUGGUCAUUUAGAGGAAGUAAAAGUCGUAACAAGGUUUCCGUAGGUGAACCUGCGGAAGGAUCAUUAUCGAAUCUUCAAACGUGGGCUGUUGCUGGCUCCUGAAUGGGGCACGUGCACGCUCUGUUUAUACAUCCACUCACACCUGUGCACCCUCUGCAGUUUUGUGGUUUGGGAGACCCUGUCUUCCUUCCAUGGCUCUGCGUCUUUACACACACGCCAUAGUGAUGUCUCAUGGAAUGUUUUUCUGCGUUUAACGCGAUACAAUACAACUUUCAGCAACGGAUCUCUUGGCUCUCGCAUCGAUGAAGAACGCAGC